This 458-nucleotide ribosomal RNA is filed under the name uncultured bacterium. Its description in RNAcentral is "partial 16S ribosomal RNA". It matches the Rfam family "Bacterial small subunit ribosomal RNA", at positions 338 to 795 of the family's 1533-position model. The record is from RNAcentral.
CCUACGGGCGGCAGCAGUGAGGAAUAUUGGUCAAUGGUCGGGAGACUGAACCAGCCAAGCCGCGUGAGGGAGGAAGGUCCAGAGUAUCGUAAACCUCUUUUGUCAGGGAACAAAGGCGGGGACGUGUCCCCGGAUGCGUGUACCUGAAGAAAAAGCAUCGACUAACUCCUUGCCAGCGGCCGCGGUAAUACGGAGGAUGCGAGGUUUAACCGGAUUUAUGGGGUUUAAAGGGUGCGCAGGCGGUCUGUUAAGUCAGGGGUCAAAGCCCGGGGCUCAACCCCGGCCCGCCGUUGAAACUGGCAGUCUCGAGUUGGAGAGAAGUAUGCGGAAUGCGGGGUGUAGCGGUGAAAUGCAUAGAUAUCGCGCAGAACUCCGAUUGCGAAGGCAGCAUGCCGGCUCCACACUGACGCUGAGGCACGAAAGCGUGGGUAUCGAACAGGAUUAGAUACCCUGGAGUC